UAGGGAAUCUUCGGCAAUGGGGGGAACCCUGACCGAGCAACGCCGCGUGAGUGAAGAAGGUUUUCGGAUCGUAAAGCUCUGUUGUUAAGGAAGAACGAGUGUGAGAAUGGAAAGUUCAUACUGUGACGGUACUUAACCAGAAAGGGACGGCUAACUACGUGCCAGCAGCCGCGGUAAUACGUAGGUCCCGAGCGUUGUCCGGAUUUAUUGGGCGUAAAGCGAGCGCAGGCGGUUAGAUAAGUCUGAAGUUAAAGGCAGUGGCUCAACCAUUGUAGGCUUUGGAAGCUGUUUAACUUGAGUGCAGAAGGGGAGAGUGGAAUUCCAUGUGUAGCGGUGAAAUGCGUAGAUAUAUGGAGGAACACCGGUGGCGAAAGCGGCUCUCUGGUCUGUAACAGACGCUGAGGCUCGAAAGCGUGGGGAGCGAACAGG
Molecule: ribosomal RNA, 429 nt
Filed under: Bacteroidota bacterium
Lineage: Bacteria; Pseudomonadati; Bacteroidota
Description: Bacteroidetes bacterium partial 16S ribosomal RNA
Rfam family: Bacterial small subunit ribosomal RNA
Source: RNAcentral